CCUACGGGUGGCAGCAGUAGGGAAUAUUGCGCAAUGGGGGAAACCCUGAAGCAGCAACGCCGCGUGGAGGAUGAAGGUUUUCGGAUUGUAAACUCCUGUUGUUAGAGAAGAAAAUGACGGUAUCUAACGAAUAAGCACCGGCUAACUCCGUGCCAGCAGCCACGGUAAUACGGAGGGUGCAAGCGUUACUCGGAAUCACUGGGCGUAAAGAGCGCGUAGGCGGGAUAGCAAGUCAGAUGUGAAAUCCUAGGGCUUAACCAGAGAACUGCAUUUGAAACUGUUAUUCUAGAGUAUGGGAGAGGUAAGUGGAAUUCUUGGUGUAGGGGUGAAAUCCGUAGAGAUCAAGAGGAAUACUCAUUGCGAAGGCGACCUGCUAGAACAUAACUGACGCUGAUGCGCGAAAGCGUGGGGAGCAAACAGGAUUAGAUACCCCUGUAGUC
Molecule: ribosomal RNA, 440 nt
Filed under: uncultured bacterium
Lineage: Bacteria
Description: partial 16S ribosomal RNA
Rfam family: Bacterial small subunit ribosomal RNA
Source: RNAcentral